UACGUAGGGGGCAAGCGUUGUCCGGAAUUAUUGGGCGUAAAGAGCUCGUAGGCGGUUUGUCGCGUCUGCUGUGAAAACCCGAGGCUCAACCUCGGGCCUGCAGUGGGUACGGGCAGACUAGAGUGCGGUAGGGGAGAAUGGAAUUCCUGGUGUAGCGGUGGAAUGCGCAGAUAUCAGGAGGAACACCGAUGGCGAAGGCAGUUCGUCUGGGCCGUUACUGACGCUGAGGAGCGGAAAGCGUGGGGAGCGAACAGG
This 255-nucleotide ribosomal RNA is filed under the name uncultured bacterium. Its description in RNAcentral is "partial 16S ribosomal RNA". It matches the Rfam family "Bacterial small subunit ribosomal RNA", at positions 524 to 776 of the family's 1533-position model. The record is from RNAcentral.